GCCAAACCUUGUUCUGAAAAACCUUCCUAUUAGAAGUCUCCCUACUUUGGGUAACUAGUUUUCUCUUGAGUUUUAUCACUGGAAAUGGAAAUAUUAAGCCGUUCCCAGAGAAUCCCCCAAAUUCCAGACAUACUCCUCCCUGUCCCCAUCUGUGGUAGAAGACCUACCCCAGAGAGUGGGGAGCAAUUGCCCAAGACGUUACAGUCAACCCUUCUUGGUCUUUGUUUUAUUGGCAUGAGGCCAACACAGCCAGGUGGCCUCUCAGCCUGCAGGCCGGUGGGACACUUCUUGUGUCCCUUUGUGGAAACGUUCCUUCUUUAGGAACAAAUGCAUCCAAACCCGCAGAGUCCAGAAUUGUGAGGUGAGCUAAUGGCUCAUUAGGGGCAUAGUGAGGGGAACUGCUCCCACUUGACAUGCUACAUUGCCCUGCAUAUUCUGGUGAUGGGAAAAACCACACCACGUGUUGACUGGCGGUUCGGGGCAUGAGGCACAUGGUGCUGGGUGGGACAGCAGCCCCAUGAGACAUCACCACCAGCCAGCAUCAUGGCUGUCUUUAGGGGGCUGUCUGCCGUGUUCUCCAGCUGGCUGCUGUGAAGUCUGGAGCCCAUGCUGAGAUCGGUGUAGUCCACGGACCUCGUUGCUGAACUUCUGCUGUGAAAUGGACCUCUUAGAGGCAGCGCUGUAAGAAUCAUGCAAUCCACACCAGCCGCUCACAGGCCACACUCCCUCACCUGAGUCCCUCUUCUCCUUGUCUGUGCGCUCGUGACAAAAGGCAACACCAAUACCCCAGACACCAGUGCUGGAAACUUCAAAAUCACGUUCAGCUGCUCACCUCAUAAUCAAUGUGCCGUCUAUUCCAUGCCAAAAUGACCUCAUGUCCUGCCCAAGACACUCGGGCUUUGAGGUAGGAAAAUCGUCUUCCCAUGAGAACAUGUAACAGGAAGCCUGCCUCCAUGUAGGUGCUCCUCUGCAUGGCCCUGGACCCCACCGCUCCAAAUGUAUGCCUCCCAAAGGGAGCAGUGUGGGUUCAUUUGGUGCUGGGUCAAGCCUUUCCUGAUGCUGCUGCGUGCACUGAACAGCAGCAGUCACAACCCACAGCAGGAGCUGCACUUGCCCCGGCAGUGCUUUGGGUGCUCAGGCAGGGAGCCUGGUGCCUUCUCUCCCUCGGGAGGCCCCGCUGUCUCAAGUGGGCACUCAUUCCUUGCAGAUGCUUGACUGGGCACUGCCAUUGGGCAUCUUCCCCUCCCUCUGAAUUUGUUCCCUGCUGACCAGCCUGCUUCUGAUGGACACAUACCUUUAUCAGAUGUGUUACUGCUUUCAUCUGGUUAUGACCACAUCAGAUGAUGUUGCCUUUCUCUGCUUGGACCCCUUUCACCAUUGAAUUGAUGUAGAACUUAACGCUAAGGGCAAACAUCCUCCCACUGUUGCCUUCCUGAGGGAUGCUGCCACGUGGUCAUCUGGCCAGCAGGAGUCACCGUUGUAACAGACACUGUUUUCUGCUGUGAAUGGUGUGUGACUUGAUCUGUAGUGUAACAUUGCUCAGGAGGCCUGAAUAACUGGAAAAUGGCAAGAAGGUGCUUUAUAUUUGCAAGGCUGCUUCAAACUCUCUCUUGCAUGCUUUUUAUUUUCUCUCUCUGCUGGCUGAAUAACCUUAGCAGACUGAACUUAUUGGAUCAAAGGGAAGAGUUGAAGAUUAGCUAAAUUUGUUCUCCAUCAAAAGCCAAUGAUGAGAGCCAGCUGUGAUGGCCCAGUGGUUAAAGUUAAGCAUGCUCCACUUCAGUGGCCAGGGUUCGGUUCCUGGGCGUGGAACCACACCACUCCUCUGUCAGUAGUCCUACUAUAGAGGCAGCUUACACAGAAGAACUAGAAGGACUUACAACUAGAAUAUACAACUAUGUGCUGGGGCUUUGGAGAGGGGAAAAAGAAAAAAGAGGAUGAUUGGCAACAGAUGUUAGCUCAGGGCAAAUCUUUCCCAGAAAAAAAACAAACAAAACAGAAUAUUAAAAAAAAAAAAAAGUGAAAGCAAUGAUGAAAAUGAUUCUCUUGAGAACAAGAAGCCGCCUUUCUGAGCUCAGAGUGUUCAUCCGACACCAUACUGGAGAGAGAAGUACUGCUUCAUGGAGCUGUGUUUGGUCUUUCCAAGGGCACCGAUGUAAAAUUUAGCUAGGAUGAAAUGUUUUCUUGCUUUUCUAAGUUGUAUUUUCAUGAGACAUGAAGAAAUAUUUUGGGUGAUAUGUGAAGAAUUCACGACCUUGUCAUGUUGGAUCAAGGUCUGGCAGCCUGCCGCAUCUCCUACUUUUACCUAAUUGGAAGGACACGGCCUCCCUCUUUAGAUGAAAAUGGCGGAAUAGCUGGUCUGCUCCGAGUCCUUGUAGCUGCUCAGUUCUCCAUCUCCUCCUCCUUCCUGGGGCACCAGGGCUGGGAAUGUCUAUAGGGAGCUGCGUUUGCCACAAGUCCAACUGAAGCACUAGAGGUUGACGUAGGACGUGACGAGGACAGCCUGCCUCUGUCAUUAAACACAGCGAAGGUGGGCUGGUGCGAUCUGCUUUCCAAAGCCUUACGUGGGUCCACUUCAAUGCCUUGUGCUCAAACUGUGGCUUAAAACUCAUUGUUGGAGGGGCCGGCCCUGUGGCCGAGUGGUUAAGUUUUCGCGCUCCGCUGCGGCGGCCCAGUGUUUCAUCGGUUCGAAUCCUGGACGUGGACAUGGCGCCACUCGUCAGGCCAUGCUGAGGCAGCGUCCCACAUGCCACAACCAGAAGGACCCACAACUAAGAGUAUACAACUGUGUACCGGGGAGCCUUGGGGAGAAAAAGG
RNAcentral lists this long non-coding RNA (2814 nucleotides) under Equus asinus (donkey). RNAcentral's name for it is "lncRNA (ENSEASG00005033432.1)". Lineage: Eukaryota; Metazoa; Chordata; Mammalia; Perissodactyla; Equidae. The record is from RNAcentral.